Molecule: ribosomal RNA, 496 nt
Filed under: uncultured bacterium
Lineage: Bacteria
Description: partial 16S ribosomal RNA
Rfam family: Bacterial small subunit ribosomal RNA
Source: RNAcentral
GAUGAACGCUGGCGGCGUGCCUAAUACAUGCAAGUCGAGCGAACAGACGGGGAGCUUGCUCCUCUGACGUUAGCGGCGGACGGGUGAGUAACACGUGGAUAACCUACCUAUAAGACUGGGAUAACUUCGGGAAACCGGAGCUAAUACCGGAUAAUAUAUUGAACCGCAUGGUUCAAUAGUGAAAGACGGUUUUGCUGUCACUUAUAGAUGGAUCCGCGCCGCAUUAGCUAGUUGGUAAGGUAACGGCUUACCAAGGCAACGAUGCGUAGCCGACCUGAGAGGGUGAUCGGCCACACUGGAACUGAGACACGGUCCAGACUCCGACGGGAGGCAGCAGUAGGGAAUCUUCCGCAAUGGGCGAAAGCCUGACGGAGCAACGCCGCGUGAGUGAUGAAGGUCUUCGGAUCGUAAAACUCUGUUAUUAGGGAAGAACAAAUGUGUAAGUAACUAUGCACGUCUUGACGGUACCUAAGCAGAAAGCCACGGCUAACUACGU